AUCCAUCUGACGAGUCUCCGAUAGGACGAAAAGCGCGUCCUGGAU
Molecule: non-coding RNA, 45 nt
Filed under: Schistosoma margrebowiei
Lineage: Eukaryota; Metazoa; Platyhelminthes; Trematoda; Strigeidida; Schistosomatidae
Source: RNAcentral